UAGAAGACAAAUAAACUGUUUAAAAUGAUACUACUGUUAAAAGCAUAAUUUAUUGAAUUUCAGUAACUAAAUAACAACCCAAUGAAAAAAUUAAGGUAAAAUUUUUUUAUAAAUUCAAAAUUAAUUUUUUUAAGAUAUUUAGUAACUUUACUUUUCUGUGAUCGUAAUACCUGUUUUAAUAACUUAUUUUCAAUAAAAUUGUUUGUAAUAAAUAUACAAUUAUACAUGUGAUACUCAAAAUAUUCAUGGUAACAAACAUUUGAUUUCUUGAUUUAAAAAAUUUCAAGUUAUAAAGAUGGUCUUGAAUUCAAGUGUUAAACGGAAGGUGAAAUUUGAUUUUGUAUAGGUAACAUAAUCCUAAUUUUAUCAGUAGAACUUUUCUAUUGUUACUGUUAUUGUUCCAUGCAAUAAUGAUAUAUCAUUAUCAUUCUUCCCUUUAACUGAAAACAAUUAUUAAAAUUAUUAAAAUGGUUUCUAUAACAGAAAGAAGUUUGCCUGAACUCUAUUGGCUAGCUCUGAGGAAAGAAGGAAAAACAAAAAAUUAAAAUUUAAGGGGAAAAAAUUAGUUGGUUGAUCAAGAAAAUAGAGUGCUUUUAGUGUUUUCUUACAAAAGGAAUCAUCAAAGAUAUAUUAGGAUUUUGAUCAGUGCCACUCUACUUGUUCCAUUCCUCUAGUGUAGAGUAAAGAAACAAUUUUGGAAGUUCUGAUUAUCUUCUUUCUUGGUUAAUUUUCCUAUAUGACAAUAUUUUUGCAUCCAGCAGUAUUAGGAAAUGUAGAAAAACUGAAUUGUAGAAAAACUGAAAUUACAGUUUAUGAGAAAAUUUAUUUAUAAACUGUAAGGAAAAAAUCAGGACCAGAAAAAUAUGAUGUAAAUUGUGGAAAGCAUUAAUUCCAGCAAUGACAUAAUAUGAUACAAACAAUGGCAAUGAUGAAAUAUUCUUAAAGCCAAGAUGAUAAAAUAGAUGUUCAAAACUCCAGAAAAUAUAAACAGAGAUCAUGUAAAAUAAUGACAAAUUUCAGUAUUCUCCCCAGGAACAUAGUUUGUAAUUUACCUGCAAUGUUAGCUAGUUGCUGCUACAAAUUUACUUACAAACUUUGAGUAUUGUUUUAUUGUCAUUAACUACACUAACACUUGUUAACCAAAUUACAGACCACAGGUACCUUGAAAAAAAAAAAACAAUACUAAUAAUAAUAAAUAUGAAAUGAAAUUAAAAAAAUAUAUAUUUUUAUCUAAUUGGUUGAAAUAUUUAGCUGCCAAAUCUACCAACUAAAACUAUAAAACUAGCAUGAAGAGAAACUGAUAUUUUCAGUAUUCAUAGCCAUUUUUAGCAUGCUGUUAAAUUGGAUAGUCACUAGGAAAAGGAAAUACAGAUCUGUUAAACUAUACAAUAAUUUUUAUCAUAAACAAAGUACUACAAUUUGUUUGUCAUCUUAAUCUCCAGCUGUAAUUUUUUUUAAAUAAAUUAUUUUAUUAAGUUGUUGUUAAAAGAUGAUCCUAUAAUAAUUUAAAAGUUUAUGAUGUCUAUAUCUAAUUAUUAAAUAUCAUUUAAAGUAUGUU
Molecule: long non-coding RNA, 1558 nt
Filed under: Centruroides sculpturatus (bark scorpion)
Lineage: Eukaryota; Metazoa; Arthropoda; Arachnida; Scorpiones; Buthidae
Description: uncharacterized LOC111630699, transcript variant X2
Source: RNAcentral